GUGGGGAAUAUUGGACAAUGGGCGAAAGCCUGAUCCAGCCAUGCCGCGUGUGUGAAGAAGGUCUUCGGAUUGUAAAGCACUUUAAGUUGGGAGGAAGGGCAGUAAGUUAAUACCUUGCUGUUUUGACGUUACCGACAGAAUAAGCACCGGCUAACUUCGUGCCAGCAGCCGCGGUAAUACGAAGGGUGCAAGCGUUAAUCGGAAUUACUGGGCGUAAAGCGCGCGUAGGGGGUUUUGUAAGUUGGAGGUGAAAUCCCCGGGCUCAACCUGUGAACUGCCUCCAAAACUGCAUGACUAGAGUACGGUAGAGGGUAGUGGAAUUUCCUGGGUAGCGGUGAAAUGCGUAGAUAUAGGAAGGAACACCAGUGGCGAAGGCGACUACCUGGACUGAUACUGACACUGAGGUGCGAAAGCGUGGGGAGCAAACAGGAUUAGAAACCCUGGUAGUCC
RNAcentral lists this ribosomal RNA (450 nucleotides) under uncultured bacterium. RNAcentral's name for it is "partial 16S ribosomal RNA". It matches the Rfam family "Bacterial small subunit ribosomal RNA", at positions 354 to 796 of the family's 1533-position model. The record is from RNAcentral.